This 329-nucleotide unclassified non-coding RNA is filed under the name soil metagenome. RNAcentral describes it as "partial contains 5.8S ribosomal RNA, internal transcribed spacer 2, and large subunit ribosomal RNA". The stretch from base 1 to 120 matches the Rfam family "5.8S ribosomal RNA", at positions 35 to 154 of the family's 154-position model. The record is from RNAcentral.
GAUGAAGAACGUAGCGAAAAGCGAUAAGUAAUGUGAAUUCCAGAAUUCAGUGAAUCAUCGAAUCUUUGAACGCACAUUGCGCCCUCUGGUAUUCCGGGGGGCAUGCCUGUUCGAGCGUCAUUAUAACCACUCAAGCUCUCGCUUGGUAUUGGGGUUCGCGGUUUCGCGGCCCCUAAAAUCAGUGGCGGUGCCUGUCGGCUCUACGCGUAGUAAUACUUCUCGCGAUUGAGUUCGAUAGGUCUACUUGCCAGUAACCCCCAAUUUUUACAGGUUGACCUCGGAUCAGGUAGGGAUACCCGCUGAACUUAAGCAUAUCAAUAAGCGGAGGA